AUUGAACGCUGGCGGUAUGCUUAACACAUGCAAGUCGAACGGUAACAGGCCUUCGGGCGCUGACGAGUGGCGGACGGGUGAGUAACGCGUAGGAAUCUGCCUUAUAGUGGGGGACAACGUGGGGAAACUCACGCUAAUACCGCAUACGCCCUACGGGGAAAGCGGGGGAUCGUAAGACCUCGCGCUAUGAGAUGAGCCUGCGUUAGAUUAGCUAGUUGGUAGGGUAAAGGCCUACCAAGGCGACGAUCUAUAGCUGGUCUGAGAGGACGAUCAGCCACACUGGGACUGAGACACGGCCCAGACUCCUACGGGAGGCAGCAGUGGGGAAUAUUGGACAAUGGGCGCAAGCCUGAUCCAGCAAUACCGCGUGUGUGAAGAAAGGCCUUCGG
RNAcentral lists this ribosomal RNA (389 nucleotides) under uncultured bacterium. RNAcentral's name for it is "bacterial SSU rRNA". It matches the Rfam family "Bacterial small subunit ribosomal RNA", at positions 30 to 421 of the family's 1533-position model. The record is from RNAcentral.